Cavia porcellus (domestic guinea pig) is the source of this 2401-nucleotide long non-coding RNA. RefSeq lists it as uncharacterized. The transcript is spliced from 3 exons. The record is from RefSeq and is a predicted model, not a curated record. Lineage: Eukaryota; Metazoa; Chordata; Mammalia; Rodentia; Caviidae.
AGUCCGUAUCAGCAGAGCUGGGUCGCAACAGGUCAGCAGAAUGCAGCCGACCCACGCCACUUCUCAGGCUGAGGAGCUCAAGCAAAGAUGCGCAAACUACUAAAGGGUACAAUUCUAAAGCAAAAAAGACUGAGAAGGCCUGGGAGUUCUCCCCUCCACAACUCGGGGAAGACGCAAGAGGGAAGGGUCAGGAGGAGCCCGCAAGGAUCAAAACAGAGACCACAAUGCGCACGCGAUUCUGAAAGGCAAAGUCCACACCAGACAACCAGGAGUCUCAGAUUCAAUGGAAGGAGUGGUCUUUCCUUGUGACAUGGGAUGGACUCUGCCGUACAUCUCAGGAGCCGGGCAGACCCAAGUGUUCAUUAAGAAUGAGAGGAAACAUGAAGUUUAUUCCUGAAAUAGCUCUCUGGCCACCUCACAUACUGUGGCUGAAUUUGGCCACAUACAGGUCUACGUUUUGAGCCACCAAAGCCUUCAGAGUAUCUGUGUUUAAAAAAAAAAAACAAAAAAAAAAACCCUAAAAUGGAAUCAUGGAGCACACAGGGGAGAGACUGCGGAGGCUCAGGGGACUGACAGUGCAGGGUGCAGUUCGAUCAAAGCAAUCCUUUCCUUGUAAUCUUACAUUGGAGCCAGAGAAUCCAUAAUUUUACAUGGUCAUUAUCUAGAAUGGGUACGACUACCACAAGGCAGUAGAGAUUCUGAUACAAUUAAAGACAGCACAUUUUGUCUAAUAAAGCAACUCUGAAAGGAACAUCAUCAAUAGCCGAAGAUAAAAAGUAAACCAAGUUCAGCAUCACAAGCUUUUCCACAUGAUUUCAGCCAUUACCUAGUCUCAGCCUUGCAUGCUUCUGGCUCUUAUGGGAACCGGGAAUGUGAUGCUGUUUCUAAUGAGUCAACUAAACUCCUGGGCCGGCUCCUUCUCCACCAAACCCCGUAAGACUUAAAUCCUAAACUGAUGGGUCUCCAGCACACUCCAACAGCACCACUCACACACCAGCUCUUCCCUUUCGGGAGAAGGGAACACACCACCACAGGCCUACGAAUGCUAUCACUUAGCUGCCUCUCAGUCAAUUUCCUCUCUAGUCCUUCAGAGUUUUUCUGAUUACUGAGGUUCAGGCCAUGAGCCACACUUCCAAGUUCUAAAACAAUGUGGAAAGGACUCUGCUUUAUCCACUCUGGCAUUUCACCUCCCAGGCUGUAUUCUGCUGAUAAAGCUGUGUCCUACCAAAAACCACAUCAUGAACUUAGUUGUCUGGGAUGUGCUGGGUUUGACCACGUAAAACAGGGUUCUUUCCUGCAGGACUUGUAAGUAGCACGUAUCUUGAAGCGCCUAGCAGUUAUCAGGACACUAAGUAUCUUCACAUUGGUGUGAGAUUAAGCAAGUGUUCUGGAGUCUCUCAAAUUCCCUGGAACUCUGCCUACAGGCUUUGCGGGCCUGGAUGUUACAGGCGGGAGCAUAAAAGUGAAAAACUUUCUGCCGUCUCCCUUCUCACUACUGCAAUAGUUUUAGGAUGUCAAAAUCAACACAAACACAAGACAAAAGACAAACAUACAACACAGGACAACGUAUUCACUUUUCUAUCCCACACCAAUUGUUUAACUUUCCUUGAGCCCAGUUAACCUGAUACAAGCCCUCUGCACCCUUUCAACUCAUCUAUUUACAAGACGGUAAGAUCUAAAAUAUCUACACACCCUAUUUCAUAAUCAACAUCUUUUGAUAAACUGGGAAAUAAAAGAACAUUUUGUUACGAUAACGCGUAAUGCUCCCUUCUAAGAAAAAACACUUGUACCCGAUCCAGCCAAUGUGGUUCAUUAACAACAAGUUCAUUGUUUCUUACAGGCUAACACUGACUGCCCACUGAGGACCUGACAAUGUUCGCAACACCUAGAUGUUCCCCCUGCCCACUAAGUCAUUCCUACGCACACUUCCAUUUCUUUGUGGGCACCCUAGAAAAAGGCUUACUAAAUUCUAAUGGUACUGAGACUGAAAGACCAGAGAGUAAUGAACCCACAAAGCAUCCUUCUUCUAGCUCUCAAUGACUACCCACACCAACAUACUCAGCACCCCCUCAAGCAAUGGUUUGUCAGAGAUGAAACCACAACAAAUGUGCAACAGAGGCCCCAGCUGUGGCACACAAGCGUCAGAAGCAAAAUGCAGGUCAUUCCCUGUAGUACACACACCGGCUUAGGCAGGUGGGACAGUCCUGACCCGAUUUCCUGAGACACACACCUUUGCACAAGCAUCCAAGCUGCCAGCACAAUUCCAUUCCAGAAAACCACUACGGAGUACAGGAGCCCCUUCCUUCAAGGGUAAGUGGAGGCAAAUGCAAGACACACUCUUGCUUACUAUUAAAAAAGAUCGAAGUUUUUAAAAGGGAAGUUUUCACUGCCAACUCAUGGA